GACGAACUGCCCUAACGUUGUUCGGAAUCACUGGGCUUAAAGGGCGCGUAGGCGGCGAUAGAAGUCAGGGGUGAAAUCCGGCAGCUCAACUGUCGAAGUGCCUUUGAUACUCUAUUGCUCGAGGGAGGUAGGGGUCUGUGGAACUUCUGGUGGAGCGGUGAAAUGCGUUGAUAUCAGAAGGAACGCCGGUGGCGAAAGCGACGGACUGGACCUUUUCUGACGCUGAGGCGCGAAAGCUAGGGGAGCAAACGGG
RNAcentral lists this ribosomal RNA (253 nucleotides) under uncultured bacterium. RNAcentral describes it as "partial 16S ribosomal RNA". It matches the Rfam family "Bacterial small subunit ribosomal RNA", at positions 524 to 776 of the family's 1533-position model. The record is from RNAcentral.